UACGAAGGGGGCUAGCGUUACUCGGAAUUACUGGGCGUAAAGGGCGCGUAGGCGGCGUUCCAAGUUAGGCGUGAAAGUCCUGGGCUCAACCUGGGAACUGCGCUUAAGACUGGAAUGCUAGAGGAUGGAAGAGGGUUGUGGAAUUCCCAGUGUAGAGGUGAAAUUCGUAGAUAUUGGGAAGAAACACCGGUGGCGAAGGCGGCAACCUGGUCCAUUUCUGACGCUGAGGCGCGAUAGCGGUGGGGAAGCAAACAGG
This 256-nucleotide ribosomal RNA is filed under the name uncultured bacterium. RNAcentral's name for it is "partial 16S ribosomal RNA". It matches the Rfam family "Bacterial small subunit ribosomal RNA", at positions 524 to 776 of the family's 1533-position model. The record is from RNAcentral.